This 546-nucleotide ribosomal RNA is filed under the name uncultured bacterium. RNAcentral's name for it is "partial 16S ribosomal RNA". It matches the Rfam family "Bacterial small subunit ribosomal RNA", at positions 355 to 891 of the family's 1533-position model. The record is from RNAcentral.
UGGGGAAUUUUGGACAAUGGGCGAAANCCUGAUCCAGCAAUGCCGCGUGUGUGAAGAAGGCCUUCGGGUUGUAAAGCACUUUUGUCCGGAAAGAAAUCCUUGGCUCUAAUACAGUCGGGGGAUGACGGUACCGGAAGAAUAAGCACCGGCUAACUACGUGCCAGCAGCCGCGGUAAUACGUAGGGUGCAAGCGUUAAUCGGAAUUACUGGGCGUAAAGCGUGCGCAGGCGGUUUGCUAAGACCGAUGUGAAAUCCCCGGGCUCAACCUGGGGAACUGCAUUGGUGACUUGGCAGGCUAGAGUAUGGCAGAGGGGGGUAGAAUUCCACGUGUAGCAGUGAAAUGCGUAGAGAUGUGGAGGAAUACCGAUGGCGAAGGCAGCCCCCUGGGCCAAUACUGACGCUCAUGCACGAAAGCGUGGGGAGCAAACAGGAUUAGAUACCCUGGUAGUCCACGCCCUAAACGAUGUCAACUAGUUGUUGGGGGAUUCAUUUCCUUAGUAACGUAGCUAACGCGUGAAGUUGACCGCCUGGGGAGUACGGUCGCAA